Molecule: long non-coding RNA, 373 nt
Organism: Chroicocephalus ridibundus (black-headed gull)
Lineage: Eukaryota; Metazoa; Chordata; Aves; Charadriiformes; Laridae
Exons: 3
Source: RefSeq, a predicted model, not a curated record
GAUUAGCCGGUUGUUCCCUGAAGUCGUCUUAGAUGUUUCAGACUGUUUCUACAAAUUGUCAAGCUCGUUCUGAAUCCUCAUCCUCCCAAGUGGUUGGACCUCUUUUCAGUGACUCGCCACAUCCUUUCUGAACAAAAGGCUAGACAUAACCAACAGACAGCUCUGGAGAAGCUCUGAUAUUUCUUUGGGAUGAAGACGGACCAAAAUUGUGAAGCUAACCAAAGCCAACCAACCCCUGUGAUGCCUGGACAGAUCACAUUCAGAGCCCACCGGGGGUUUUUUUUGCACCAAAAGCUGAACUUCUGCUGUAAAGUUUUAAUUUUCUCAUACUAAUAGUCCUCUCAAAAGAGUACAAGAGAAGUUCAAAAGCAUG